UGAGGAGAUCCACCUACGACCUCAGGUCAUCAGACCAGCCAGCCCAAGGACCAUUUCACCAAUUUCAAAUCGAUUCCCAGCAAUAUGAAGACACCCUAGCUGGAUGAUCAGUUCCUGUUAAGAAUAUGACCCCUCAAACCUUGAUGGACUGGACCCUGCUUAGUCAUCUAUAGUACCCCAACUGCUGUCUGCCUGCAGGACCCUCUGUAUUGGGUUCACCAUUCCAGAAUAAAGCUGUGUCUGCCAGCCAGCCAGCCUGAUCUCUCCUCUUCCUCCUGG
RNAcentral lists this long non-coding RNA (279 nucleotides) under Homo sapiens (human). Its description in RNAcentral is "PREDICTED lncRNA (TCONS_00275367)". The record is from RNAcentral. Lineage: Eukaryota; Metazoa; Chordata; Mammalia; Primates; Hominidae.